UACGGAGGGUGCAAGCAUUAAUCGGAUUUAUUGGGCGUAAAGGGCGCGUAGGCGGGAUGUUAAGUCAGUUGUGAAAUCCUGGGGCUCAACCUCAGACCCGCAACUGAAACUGAUAUUCUAGAGGGCGGGCGGAGAAAACGGAAUUCCACAAGUAGCGGUGAAAUGCGUAGAUAUGUGGAAGAACACCUGUGGCGAAAGCGGUUUUCUAGCUCGCACCUGACGCUGAGGCGCGAAAGCAAGGGGAGCAAACAGG
This 253-nucleotide ribosomal RNA is filed under the name uncultured bacterium. RNAcentral describes it as "partial 16S ribosomal RNA". It matches the Rfam family "Bacterial small subunit ribosomal RNA", at positions 524 to 776 of the family's 1533-position model. The record is from RNAcentral.